RNAcentral lists this ribosomal RNA (448 nucleotides) under uncultured bacterium. RNAcentral's name for it is "bacterial SSU rRNA". It matches the Rfam family "Bacterial small subunit ribosomal RNA", at positions 329 to 794 of the family's 1533-position model. The record is from RNAcentral.
GUCCAGACUCCUACGGGAGGCAGCAGUGGGGAAUAUUGCACAAUGGGGGAAACCCUGAUGCAGCGACGCCGCGUGAGUGAAGAAGUAUUUCGGUAUGUAAAGCUCUAUCAGCAGGGAAGAAAAUGACGGUACCUGACUAAGAAGCCCCGGCUAACUACGUGCCAGCAGCCGCGGUAAUACGUAGGGGGCAAGCGUUAUCCGGAUUUACUGGGUGUAAAGGGAGCGUAGACGGCAGUGCAAGUCUGGAGUGAAAGGCGGGGGCUCAACCCCCGGACUGCUCUGGAAACUGUACGGCUGGAGUGCAGGAGAGGUAAGUGGAAUUCCUGGUGUAGCGGUGAAAUGCGUAGAUAUUAGGAGGAACACCGGUGGCGAAGGCGGCCUGCUGGACUGUAACUGACGUUGAGGCUCGAAAGCGUGGGGAGCAAGCAGGAUUAGAUACCCGAGUACC